Molecule: non-coding RNA, 153 nt
Filed under: unclassified sequences
Description: IMES-5 RNA
Rfam family: IMES-5 RNA
Source: Rfam by way of RNAcentral
UAUUGCUGGAAGGAAAUUGGACCUCGAGACCCAGAUUCCUAAAAGAAUGGACAGAAGAAGAAGGGUGAAAAGAAUAAUGAAAAUUAUCCACCUGCGAGUAAAAAAGGGUAUUUACCGCACAGUAAGAAACCCACACUGACCCCUUCAACUUCG